This 274-nucleotide ribosomal RNA is filed under the name uncultured bacterium. Its description in RNAcentral is "partial 16S ribosomal RNA". It matches the Rfam family "Bacterial small subunit ribosomal RNA", at positions 523 to 796 of the family's 1533-position model. The record is from RNAcentral.
AUACGGAGGGUGCAAGCGUUAUUCGGAAUCACUGGGCGUAAAGGACGCGUAGGCGGGUUGGCAAGUCAGAUGUGAAAUCCUACAGCUUAACUGUAGAACUGCAUUUGAAACUGCUAACCUAGAGUAUGGGAGGGGGAGAUGGAAUUAGUGGUGUAGGGGUAAAAUCCGUAGAUGUCACUAGGAAUACCGAAAGCGAAGGCGAUCUCCUGGAACAUAACUGACGCUAAGGCGUGAAAGCGUGGGGAGCAAACAGGAUUAGAAACCCUAGUAGUCC